This 300-nucleotide ribosomal RNA is filed under the name uncultured bacterium. Its description in RNAcentral is "bacterial SSU rRNA". It matches the Rfam family "Bacterial small subunit ribosomal RNA", at positions 214 to 507 of the family's 1533-position model. The record is from RNAcentral.
CGCGCGAUUAGAGCGGCCGAUAUCUGAUUAGCUAGUUGGCGGGGUAAUGGCCACCAAGGCGACGAUCAGUAGCCGGCCUGAGAGGGUGAUCGGCCACACUGGAACUGAGACACGGUCCAGACUCCUACGGGAGGCAGCAGUGGGGAAUUUUGCGCAAUGGACGAAAGUCUGACGCAGCAACGCCGCGUGGGUGAUGAAGGUCUUCGGACUGUAAAACCCUGUCGUCAGGGACGAAGGUGUGGGAGUUAAUAGCUCUUACGCUUGACGGUACCUGGAGAGGAAGCCCCGGCUAACUCUGUG